RNAcentral lists this ribosomal RNA (493 nucleotides) under Ophelina sp. F14588. RNAcentral describes it as "partial 16S ribosomal RNA". It matches the Rfam family "Bacterial large subunit ribosomal RNA", at positions 1825 to 2602 of the family's 2925-position model. The record is from RNAcentral. Lineage: Eukaryota; Metazoa; Annelida; Polychaeta; Opheliidae.
ACAUUGCCUGUAGGUAGUUUAUUACAGGUUUGUCCUGCCCGGUGAAUUAAUUUUAAACGGCCGCGGUACUCUGACCGUGCAAAGGUAGCAUAAUCAUUUGCCCUUUAAUUUGGGGCUGGUAUGAAUGGGUGAACGAGGGGGAGGCUGUCUCUUUUUUAGGACUAAAAAUUAGCCUCUAGGUGAAGAUACCUGGAUAAAGAUAAAGGACAAGAAGACCCUAUUGAGCUUGAUUUUUAUAUUAAUAGGGAUUAAGUAAAGAAUUUGGUUGGGGCGACACAGGAAAGGCUAACACUUCCUUAGUACGGGAGGCAAACAUGCCUAAUAUGAUCCGACGUAUCGGCUAAAGAAUAAAGCUACCAUAGGGAUAACAGGCUAAUUCUUUUAGAGAGUUCAUAUUGACAAAAGAGUUUGGCACCUCGAUGUUGGCUUAGGAUAUCCCACUGGUGCAGAAGUCAGUAAUGGUAGGCUUGUUCAGCCUUUAAAAUCCUACGUG